UCCGGUUUGUCACCGGCAGUAUCCCAUGAGUCCCCAACUAAAUGCUGGCAACAUAGGACAGGGGUUGCGCUCGUUAUAGGACUUAACCUGACACCUCACGGCACGAGCUGACGACAACCAUGCAGCACCUUGUAACUUGCCCGAAGGAAAAGCUGUUUCCAGCCCUGUCAAGCUACAUUUAAGCCCUGGUAAGGUUCCUCGCGUAUCAUCGAAUUAAACCACAUGCUCCACCGCUUGUGCGGGCCCCCGUCAAUUCCUUUGAGUUUCAUUCUUGCGAACGUACUCCCCAGGUGGGGAUGACGUACUUGCUAGGUAA
This 316-nucleotide unclassified non-coding RNA is filed under the name uncultured Flavobacteriaceae bacterium. Its description in RNAcentral is "contains 16S-23S intergenic spacer region". Lineage: Bacteria; Pseudomonadati; Bacteroidota; Flavobacteriia; Flavobacteriales; Flavobacteriaceae. The record is from RNAcentral.